UUAUUUUAAAUAGUAAAAAUAUUUCACAAUAUUACUGCUUUAGCAAAUGCAACUUUCUGUAUUUUGGAUCAAAUAAAUGCAGGCACAUGUGUCAUGUUGAAAUAUAUAAAUGAACGUCACAUACCUGGCAUUUCCAAAAUGUAUAUUGUUUAUGUGCUCUAAAGGACAUACUUUUUUGAAGAGACUUUGAAGAGAUGGGAGUGUGUGCCUCGCUUGGUCUUAGCUGUGUUCCAGGUUCCUGAGUGAGGCGCUUAUUUGCAUUGGCUCGCUUUGCAACAGGUGCAUUGUGUCAGAGGUCAAUCCGGCACUUCUUCUGUGAAAGAGGGGAUUGGAGAAGUUGGUGUCCAGCACCAGGAGGUGUCACCCCCUGUGUUCUCAACAGACCUUACCAGUGAGACCGAAUCGAGAUCAGCGUGUCAGUCAUCCAGAGCCGUGCCAAACGACUCUGCUUGUGAGUGUACAAUCCAUAAGCUGGUUUUUGAAUUGGUGAGAAUUGACAAAUGCUGGAUAUGCCAUUCACCUUUGACAUCUGUCAGAUGGCACGGUGUAAGAUGCAAACGUAAGUGUGUUAUUCAUCUUCUUUUAAUUAAUGCAUUUCUCAGUAUACCAUAAGUAGUUUAAUUUCAUGCCAUGGGUCAGUUCCAGACUCACUCCUAUAAAGCAUAAAAACAUGUUUCUUGAAUGUUUUAUCAGUUCAAACCAUUGCGGUGAAAAACACUGAAGUGGCAGAUACUAUGACAUACCACGCAUAUGAGUUUGCAAG
Long non-coding RNA from Cyprinus carpio (common carp), 763 nucleotides. The record is from Ensembl. Lineage: Eukaryota; Metazoa; Chordata; Actinopteri; Cypriniformes; Cyprinidae.